Molecule: transfer RNA, 74 nt
Filed under: bacterium
Lineage: Bacteria
Description: tRNA-Gln
Rfam family: tRNA
About the family: Transfer RNA (tRNA) molecules are approximately 80 nucleotides in length. Their secondary structure includes four short double-helical elements and three loops (D, anti-codon, and T loops).
Source: RNAcentral
UGGGGGAUGGUGUAACGGUAGCACACUGCACUCUGGAUGCAGAGAUCGGGGUUCGAAUCCCUGUCCCCCAGCCA